RNAcentral lists this ribosomal RNA (569 nucleotides) under uncultured bacterium. RNAcentral's name for it is "bacterial SSU rRNA". It matches the Rfam family "Bacterial small subunit ribosomal RNA", at positions 54 to 669 of the family's 1533-position model. The record is from RNAcentral.
CAUGCAAGUCGAACGCCGUAGCAAUACGGAGUGGCAGACGGGUGAGUAACACGUGGGAACGUGCCCUUUGGUUCGGAACAACACAGGGAAACUUGUGCUAAUACCGGAUAAGCCCUUACGGGGAAAGAUUUAUCGCCGAAGGAUCGGCCCGCGUCUGAUUAGCUAGUUGGUGGGGUAAUGGCCCACCAAGGCUACGAUCAGUAGCUGGUCUGAGAGGAUGAUCAGCCACACUGGGACUGAGACACGGCCCAGACUCCUACGGGAGGCAGCAGUUAGGAAUCUUGGACAAUGGGCGCAAGCCUGAUCCAGCCAUGCCGCGUGAGUGAUGAAGGCCUUAGGGUUGUAAAGCUCUUUCAGCGGGGAAGAUAAUGACGGUACCCGCAGAAGAAGCCCCGGCUAACUUCGUGCCAGCAGCCGCGGUAAUACGAAGGGGGCUAGCGUUGCUCGGAAUCACUGGGCGUAAAGCGCACGUAGGCGGGUCUUUAAGUCAGGGGUGAAAUCCUGNAGCUCAACUCCAGAACUGCCUUUGAUACUGAGGAUCUCGAGUCCGGGAGAGGUGAGUGGAACUC